CCUGGUCGUUCAGUGGUCUAGGAUGACGGCCUGUCACGUCGUCGACGCGGGUUCGAAUCCCGCCCAAAGGA
This 71-nucleotide transfer RNA is filed under the name Candidatus Acidiferrum sp. RNAcentral describes it as "Candidatus Acidoferrum sp. tRNA-Asp". It matches the Rfam family "tRNA". Rfam says of the family: Transfer RNA (tRNA) molecules are approximately 80 nucleotides in length. Their secondary structure includes four short double-helical elements and three loops (D, anti-codon, and T loops). The record is from RNAcentral. Lineage: Bacteria; Pseudomonadati; Acidobacteriota; Terriglobia; Candidatus Acidiferrales.